Long non-coding RNA from Macrosteles quadrilineatus (aster leafhopper), 502 nucleotides. RefSeq lists it as uncharacterized. NCBI's taxonomy places the organism in Eukaryota, Metazoa, Arthropoda, Insecta, Hemiptera, Cicadellidae. The record is from RefSeq and is a predicted model, not a curated record. The transcript is spliced from 3 exons.
CACAAUUUACCAUGGCCUCGCGAGUGCUGAUGUUCUGUUUGCUGAUAGUUGUGCUCAUGUUGGAUGUAGUGAUGAGUGCGCCUAUGACCGAAGCUGACGAAGAAGUGCAAGGGAAUCCUGCGGCCUACAGGAUCCAGAACUUAUUUAAAAAGGUUCAGGAAACCUGGACCAAAAUCUGCCCUUACGCUGAAGAUCGCCACCACGAAGAUGCAUCAAAACUGUAGAAAAGAGGCUGCUUGAAAGAUGCAACUUCUAAACGUUGGACAACGAUAAUACUCAUUUAUAGUAUUCUAACAUGAACUUUGAAAAAAAUAGUAAAUAUAUGUGAUAUUCGAAAUAAGCUGUGAUUUGUUUGUACAAAUAAAUAUGUUAGAUAGAGUUUUAUUUAUUUAAAAACUGACGGAAUUAUUAUAUUUAACCGUACAGGAGUUAUAGACAAAUUAGUUUUUUUUAGCAAUAUGUAUAGUACCUAUUUAAAUAAUAAAAACUAGUAUUUUUUAAA